AGUGAACGCUGGCGGUAGGCCUAGCACAUGCAAGUCGAACGGCAGCACAGUAAGAGCUUGCUCUUACGGGUGGCGAGUGGCGGACGGGUGAGGAAUACAUCGGAAUCUACUUUUUCGUGGGGGAUAACGUAGGGAAACUUACGCUAAUACCGCAUACGACCUACGGGCGAAAGCAGGGGAUCUUCGGACCUUGCGCGAUUGAAUGAGCCGAUGUCGGAUUAGCUAGUUGGCGGGGUAAAGGCCCACCAAGGCGACGAUCCGUAGCUGGUCUGAGAGGAUGAUCAGCCACACUGGAACUGAGACACGGUCCAGACUCCUACGGGAGGCAGCAGUGGGGAAUAUUGGACAAUGGGCGCAAGCCUGAUCCAGCCAUACCGCGUGGGUGAAGAAGGCCUUCGGGUUGUAAAGCCCUUUUGUUGGGAAAGAAAAGCAGCAGGUUAAUACCCCGCUGUUCUGACGGUACCCAAAGAAUAAGCACCGGCUAACUUCGUG
This 492-nucleotide ribosomal RNA is filed under the name uncultured bacterium. RNAcentral's name for it is "partial 16S ribosomal RNA". It matches the Rfam family "Bacterial small subunit ribosomal RNA", at positions 29 to 507 of the family's 1533-position model. The record is from RNAcentral.